RNAcentral lists this transfer RNA (80 nucleotides) under Clitoria ternatea. Its description in RNAcentral is "tRNA-Leu". It matches the Rfam family "tRNA". From Rfam's summary of the family: Transfer RNA (tRNA) molecules are approximately 80 nucleotides in length. Their secondary structure includes four short double-helical elements and three loops (D, anti-codon, and T loops). RNAcentral also lists the same sequence under 24 other names. Lineage: Eukaryota; Viridiplantae; Streptophyta; Magnoliopsida; Fabales; Fabaceae. The record is from RNAcentral.
GCCGCUAUGGUGAAAUUGGUAGACACGCUGCUCUUAGGAAGCAGUGCUCAAGCAUCUCGGUUCGAGUCCGAGUGGCGGCA